UACGGAGGGGGCGAGCGUUAUUCGGAAUUAUUGGGCGUAAAGGGCGCGUAGGCGGCUUGAUGUGUCAAAGGUGAAAUCCCUCGGCUCAACUGAGGAACUGCCUUUGAAACUGUCUGGCUUGAGGCCGGGAGAGGGUAGCGGAAUUCCCAGUGUAGCGGUGAAAUGCGUAGAUAUUGGGAGGAACACCGGUGGCGAAGGCGGCUCACUGGACCGGUACUGACGCUGAGACGCGAAAGCCAGGGGAGCAAACGGG
Molecule: ribosomal RNA, 253 nt
Filed under: uncultured bacterium
Lineage: Bacteria
Description: partial 16S ribosomal RNA
Rfam family: Bacterial small subunit ribosomal RNA
Source: RNAcentral